Molecule: long non-coding RNA, 1123 nt
Organism: Ictalurus punctatus (channel catfish)
Lineage: Eukaryota; Metazoa; Chordata; Actinopteri; Siluriformes; Ictaluridae
Source: Ensembl
CAAACAAGCAUUACAAGUGUCGGCUGCAUGCCACAGACCAGGGGGUUGGGAGGCAAAUUCUGUGGAAACGCAUAUUGAGGUACGUUUAACCUUAAGAAAUUAGAUAAGAGAAUGUGUAAGCUGAUGAAUGAAAACUGCAGUUUGAAAAGUGCAGUUUUGGCUCUUGGCACUACCAAAAGAAGUGGAGAAAGUGAAAGUGCUACAGAAGUAGUGGUUGACAGGGGACAUUUUGGGCUGUCAGUUAUUCUGUGGGUUCCUUUUUUUCCACUGCAACUUUACCUUGACGGUUAAUGAGUGACUACAGUCUCUUUUCUCAAACGUUUCAAAACAGGCCAGGGCAAGGUACAUAGAGACGAAGCAAUAACUGAAGUGUUGAACAGUCUGGAAAUAUCAAUUCGUUGUGUGAAGUGUAGUGUUUAUUUGUUCAAACAACAAAGAACUUUGAUAGAGGUUUAGAGAAGAAGUUUAUCAUAUAAUUACAGUAUGUAUUUACCUAAAAUUGUUACUUUGUGAGUUGAUCAUACAGUGUAGUGCUAAAAUCUGCACGUUACAAAAAUGAUCUUUUAACCACAGUUUUGAGAUGGCCCCACGCAAAGCUACCACUGACUUUUUUCCCCCCAAUAACAGCAUGUUCUGAAGUGUUUUUUCCCCCUCUUAUACCUCAACAACUUGCCACUAACAAUUUUUAGUCAUUAAAGAACGAUUUUCGGUUUAUAGUUAUGUUUAAUGUUGUGGAACAGCAGUGAAACAAGUUCCUGUUAACGCUUACAUUAUAGCAGCUGUAAACAGCUGUUUAUAGCCUCAUUUUUGAAGUUCAAAAGAAAAUAAAUGCAGCUUGUCAUGUUACCGAGAAAGCUCAAACCACAACUACUUCUGACCGUUACAAAGUACUGACACGGAGACUCUUUCUAGAAAUGGUUAACAAACAUCACCCCAGAGAAAGCUGCUCCAUAUCAACGAUUAUAUUUGUUUUAAUCCAUUUAUGUGGUGUGUCCACCAUAAAUCCCUGUGAAUGAGUUAUUAUAGAAACAACAAAGUUUUAGAAUCAGCACAUUAAUAUAAUCGUGAACUACUGUCAGAGCUUCUGUUCUAGAAAAUUAACUAACAUCUUCUGACCAAUCAG